AUGUAAAACUAAUUUUAAAUCUUCUCUGUCAGCAUUUCAGUUGCCUGUUUGUCUUUACGUUUCUUUCCUGCGUUGCAGUUAUUCAAAUAGUCAGAAACUUACCCGUGAAACAGGAGCGUUCCCAGACAACAAAUAAUGUGUUAAAGGAUAAUGAACUCGUCCUGGUAUCUGGGAAGUUAUGCUUGCGGUGUGUUUGACUAAUCCUGUAAUAUGUGGAAUGUUUUUAGUGACUCCGGGAAAAUUCGUUUUCUCUUCCUAAAGAAUUAACGAAUUUGGAGGCUUUACUUUAUGUGGGGGUGUUGGUUUUUUUUCUUUCCUCAGACUGUCUAGUAAGAGCUGUUCAGCAAUAUUCUCUUGCUUCACCCCCACAUAACUUGCUACAGAGCCUGGAUCACUGGUGAAAGAUGUAUGUCCUUCGCAGACCAUACCUAUUGAAUAUCCUCUGAGUCUCCCCACUGGGAUCUAGACAAGAAUUUCAGUACUGCAGAAACUUCUCUGCCUCUCUCUUUGCUGAGAAGAUAAGUUUUGCAGAGUUGUGCUCUGGAUCACUGUUCAGUAGUCAGUCCUAUGUUUUAAAAUCAACUAAUGUGUACUGUUUUGGUUUUGCUCACAUAUAUAUAAAAAUGAAUGUUGUUUAUUCCGACACGGUAUAUCUUGCUCCUCCUGUAUUAUAAGACUUGAACAAUCUUUCUUGAUGUUAUUAGUCGUAAUGAACUUACCUAUGAUGUAAAGUUGUCAAACUAAUGCUUUGCAACUUAAUUUUCAUUUCAUAUAAAACAUCGGCAUAACCUGUUAGACUACAGCUCUGUUAAACUAGUCAUAGUUUAGACUACAGCUCUGUUAAACUAGUCAAUAGCAUAAAAUGCAAUUGAAACAUUGUACUUAUGUGAUAUACUUCUAUUUUACUAAAUGGUAACAUGCUUUCUCAUUUCAGGUAAUGAUUUUCUAGCCGAAUCUCCUGGGAUAAAACUGAUAAACUCCCAGGUAUCUAAUGCUAUGUGAAAAUAGUUUCUCUGGCAUCUCUUAUCAAAUCCUGAUUUAGUGAUAAAAAUAAUGGUUAAUAAUCUCACUAUGAUCCCCAAAGUAAACUGUGGGAACCAUUUUGUAAACUCCCAUUUAGAACUUCUAAUGAAGGCAUCCUUAAAUGGUAAACCAGAACUACAACAUUUUCUCGAAACAUGAAAAUAAAUUUCUUUGCAGCCAUGUAUUGCAGCUGAUUAUGUACUGCAUCAUUCACUGCUUACUGGGCGACAGACCACAGCAUAACUGAAAUGAACGGCUUUCUUGUGCCAUUGUAACAUAAUGAGUUUCUGUCUUGCUGAAGAAAGUACUAUUUGCAGUCUACCAGAUGUAUGAGAGAUGUUUCUUAAGAGAUUUAAAACAGGAUAAUGUUUUCUGCCAACGUUGAAAAGUGUUAAGAAAAUUCUGAGCAUCAAAGAUUAGAAUAAGCCAUCCAAAGCACUGGAAGAGCUUUCUUCCAGGCCUAAAAUCCCAGAAUUGGUAUUCCCCGGGGAUACCAGUCUGUUGGGUUCUGCUGGGAAGCACUACACUUCCAGUUUUCAUAUGCUUGAGUGGAAGAAAUUAACCUGGAACACUGAGAGAGCAAGAACGUGCCUGACAGAGGAGGCCUCGGCCAGCCGCAGCUGUGCAGUUGCUCCGGUGAGCAAAUGGCGUUACAGGGGCUCUGUGAAAUCCUGAACUCUGCAGGUUAAAGUGGUGUUUGCUCAGUGUUGUUACUGUUCGUUCUUCUUCAGAUGCAGAGGCAAUAAAUAUUUUCCUAACUA
Gymnogyps californianus (California condor) is the source of this 1784-nucleotide long non-coding RNA. RefSeq lists it as uncharacterized. Lineage: Eukaryota; Metazoa; Chordata; Aves; Accipitriformes; Cathartidae. The record is from RefSeq and is a predicted model, not a curated record. The transcript has 2 exons.